CGCAGGGAGUAUGGCAGGGAGACGCAGAGUCUCAUUCUCUUCGGGGAACCAUGGUUACAUAUGUAACCUCAAGACGAUAUUAUCGGUAAAG
Long non-coding RNA from Sinocyclocheilus rhinocerous, 91 nucleotides. RefSeq lists it as uncharacterized. The transcript is spliced from 3 exons. Lineage: Eukaryota; Metazoa; Chordata; Actinopteri; Cypriniformes; Cyprinidae. The record is from RefSeq and is a predicted model, not a curated record.